Long non-coding RNA from Penaeus chinensis, 582 nucleotides. RefSeq lists it as uncharacterized. The transcript is spliced from 3 exons. NCBI's taxonomy places the organism in Eukaryota, Metazoa, Arthropoda, Malacostraca, Decapoda, Penaeidae. The record is from RefSeq and is a predicted model, not a curated record.
AACCUCGACAUAGCGAACUGUUCAUAUUCGUAAAAGGAACAACACAAAUUAUUUUAACAAUUGUUGUCGUAAAUGGCUUUCCGUGUUGUCUACACUACAUGAGUGUACCCGAGGGACGGUACACACGAGCCGUGCAUUCUGCAUGAAAAGAUGGCUGAAAUCUUCAAUGACACUUGGAACUGUAUAAGAAGUUGUGUGAGAACUAACGUCUUGGCUGCCAGCAGGAGACCAUCAAGUGCCAACCAAAAAUCAUCAUAGUCUAGCAUGGACUCAGGCUAGGGAAACUACAAACUAUGGACUUGGGCAAUUAGUACUCAGGUACUCAGAUUUAAGUCUUCCUCAAGUCAAGGAUAAGAGGGCUUUUACCAUAACUUUUGGUAUGUUGUUAUUGCCAAGUGCAUUGUGUGUGCAUUUUCUUAUGUGGUUUUGAUGAAUUAAUCCUAUGAUGUGAUCAAAAAGAAGUGAUUCACUGUUUGGAAAAGGCAAUUAAGGUUUUAAAUUUCAUCUUAUUUCAUUUCAUAGCCAUAUAGAUGGCUACACUUGUACUAAAUCACCAAUGAGCCAGUUACGAUUACUGCCUGU